This is a small nuclear RNA of Tupaia belangeri (northern tree shrew), 107 nucleotides long. NCBI's taxonomy places the organism in Eukaryota, Metazoa, Chordata, Mammalia, Scandentia, Tupaiidae. The record is from Ensembl.
GUACUUGCUUCGGCAGCACAUAUACUAAAAUUAAAACGAUACAGGGAUGAUUAUCAUGGCCCCUGCUCAAGGAUGACAUGUGAAUUCAUGAAGUGUUCCAUAUUUUU